CUAUGAAGAAGAUGUUUACAGCAAAGACCCCGAAAAUGGAGCCAUUGACGAAGACCAGGAAAAGAAAAUUAAAGGAAAGUAUAUUUAAUUUUAGUCUAAUUAUAAUUUUAGUUCUAUUACAGUAGCAGGCCUUACCAAGUUCCAGUCAGUCACAGAACAUGAAGAUUGUUUCAUUGAAGAUAGGAAAUGAGUAGCAUAUACUAUGAAGAAGAUGUUUACAGCAAAGACCCGAAAAUGGAGCCAUUGACGAAGACCAGGACAAGAUGCUUAAAGUAGCAGGCCUUACCAAGUUUCAGUCGCAGAAGAUGAAGAUUAUUUCAUUGAAAAUUGGAGAUAAAUAACAUCUCCAAGGAAGAUUAAUUAUUACAUUAAUCUUCACCCAAGUCUGAGGCCAUGACAUGAAAGAAAUAACGUUAUAUUAGUGCCAAUGUUUUCAUGAAUGGGGAGUAAGACUUGGUGGUAUAAUAUUUCUAAUAUACAAAUACUAUGAAGAAGAUGUUUACAGCAAAGACCCUGAAAAUAGAGCCAUUGGCGAAGACCAGGACAAGAUGCUUAAAGUAGCAGGCCUUACCAAGUUUCAGUAGCAGAAGAUGAAGAUUAUUUCAUUGAAAAUUGGAGAUAAAAAACAUCUCCAAGGAAGAUUAAUUAUUACAUUAAUCUUCACCCAAGUCUGAGGCCAUGACAUGAAAGAAAUAACGUUAUAUUAGUGCCAAUGUUUUCAUGAAUGGGGAGUAAGACUUGGUGGUAUAAUAUUUCUAAUAUACAAGUAGAUACUAUGAAGAAGAUGUUUACAGCAAAGACCCUGAAAAUAGAGCCAUUGGCGAAGACCAGGACAAGAUGCUUAAAGUAGCAGGCCUUACCAAGUUUCAGUAGCAGAAGAUGAAGAUUAUUUCAUUGAAAAUUGGAGAUAAAAAACAUCUCCAAGGAAGAUUAAUUAUUACAUUAAUCUUCACCCAAGUCUGAGGCCAUGACAUGAAAGAAAUAACGUUAUAUUAGUGCCAAUGUUUUCAUGAAUGGGGAGUAAGACUUGGUGGUAUAAUAUUUCUAAUAUACAAGCUAGCAAUAAUUACUGCUUUUCAGUAUGGGUUGAGGUUUAGAAUGAUCAUUGGAGCUGACUUUUAAGGUUAGCAUUACAGCUUGUCCUUACAGAUUGAUGUUGGAAAUGGCCAUUGGAGUUGAAUUUUAAAGAUAACUAUUACUGUGGCUGAAGGAUAUAAUUGUUUGAUUAAUUCUCCGUAUCCCUCGGAGUUAUUGCAAAGGUUAUUAACAUGUAUACAGCUUGGCACUCUACACAAGGCAUUGGAUUUAACGUCCCCAUUCUGACCGGACAUGGCUGCGAAUUCAUACAUCCUGCACUUCCAAACAGAAGCCCCACUGCCAGUCUGAAGAAGAGUUUCAAAUUUAUAUAUUUGAAUAUGAUAAUGUAUUUUGUUUUGUUAAGUAUAUUAUAAAAUUUUGAACUGACACCAGUUUUUUUAAGCUUAUAGAAAAGUCCUAGGUGCCAUACAGAGUCAAAUGCACGUUUAAUGUCUACAAAACAUGCAUAUAAUGGUUGGGAUUUAUUUCUGAUGUAUUUUUGUAUAAGAGUAUUUAUUACAAACAUAUGAUCAGAUGUACUACAUCCUCUUUAUCCAAUUUGCUCUUUACAAAUGAGUUUUUUCUUCUCAAAAAAGGCUGUCAGUCUAUUAUUUAAUAUUCUGUUAAAAAGUUGACCAAUAGUGUCACUUAUUGUUAUACCUCUAUAGUUUGAAGGAUCAUAUAUUGACCCCUUUUUAUGUCUAGUUGAAAUAUUCUCUUUGGCCAUAUUUUAGGAUAGAUUCCUGCAGAAAAAAAUCUAUUAAAAGCUUUUAAAAAUAGUGGGUUAAAAAUUGAUUGGCAGUACUUAAUUAUUUCAUUUAGUAUCAUAUUUAAUCCACAGGAUUUGCCAUUCUUUAAAGAUUUAAUAGCUUUUAGUAGUUCAGACUCUGUAAUCUUGAAAGUCUUAAUUCAUUAAAAAUAUUAGUUUUUUCUAAAUUAUUAAGCUCCUGCAGAAUUGUAUCAUUUUCAGCAAUUGUAGUUUUAUUUAGGGAUUUAAAAUGAUUCUCCCAAUCUUCCAAACUGAUAUUUGUUUCCUUUUUAUCAUUGUUAUCUCCUUUUAAUUUUUCAACUAAUUUCCAAUAGGAUUUUCAUUUUUAAGAUUAUCUAGCUUAUUAAAGAAAUAACUCUUUAAACUUACAUUUAUCUUUUCUCGUUUUUCUGUAAUGUUUUAGGCAUUUAAAAUAUGACCCUCUAAUGUAUUGGUCAUUGCUAUACUUUUGCAAUCGAUUGCAUUUAUGAUCUAGUUCUUGUUUUAUUUUCUUAAGACUGUAAUCAUACCAUAACUUUUGCUUUCUGUUAUUAACUUUCUUUUAAUAUUUUUUCAUAGUUUUCUUCUUUUUUAAGGCUAAGUCGCCUGCAGUUAUAAUGAUUUUAUUUAGGUUAUCUAUCAUAUAUUUUUAUGCUUAUGAGUUAUAUUCAUGUAUGUUGUUUUUAAUAAUAAAAAAUUCCCAAGGCAUAUAAGUAUAACAGGAAUUGAUUGUCUUCUUGCACGCAUGUAAUACAUGUAGGCGUAGGAAUUUUAGCACCAAAAAUUAGGUUAUAAAGUGAACUGAAAUUUGUACUGUGAACAUUGUAUUUUUUUUAAGGAUCUUUAAGAGAACAAAGAUUUGCAUAAUUUUGUAUUUUUUAAAUUAAUUUUCAUGAAGGUGGAAUGGCUAUACAAACGUAAUCGUAUUUCGACUUUUGUACCAAAUUUUUUAUAGCCGUAGUCCUAAUGACAAGAUUUCUUUUUACUUACAUAUAUUCAAACAAAAUUAUGUUUUCUUUUACUCAUUUCCUGGAGUGAGGUCCUACACUUAGAGUUUCGCUGGCAUUGACAAAAGGACACAGGUUUCCUAAAAUGGGUUUUUCCUGGUUGGCCACGGAACAUUGAAAUGUAGUUAUUCAGUUUUUUUACUGCAAAAGGUUGACAUGAGAUUAUUCAGUUUUUCAAAUGCAAAAGGUUGACAUGAGAUUAUUUUUCUAGUAUAAGUUAUUGAAUUCAUAUUGUAUAAUGUAUAGUGUGUAAUUUGUCUUAUUAAAUCGACAGCUCACAAUAUGCAGUACUCGAGCUAGUCAAAAAACAUAA
This is a long non-coding RNA of Mytilus californianus (California mussel), 3145 nucleotides long. RefSeq lists it as uncharacterized. The transcript is spliced from 13 exons. Lineage: Eukaryota; Metazoa; Mollusca; Bivalvia; Mytilida; Mytilidae. The record is from RefSeq and is a predicted model, not a curated record.